Molecule: ribosomal RNA, 485 nt
Filed under: uncultured bacterium
Lineage: Bacteria
Description: partial 16S ribosomal RNA
Rfam family: Bacterial small subunit ribosomal RNA
Source: RNAcentral
GACGAACGCUGGCGGCGUGCUUAACACAUGCAAGUCGAACGGUGACGGAGGAGCUUGCUCCUCCCGAUCAGUGGCGAACGGGUGAGUAACACGUGAGUAACCUGCCCCAGACUCUGGGAUAACCUCGGGAAACCGGGGCUAAUACCGGAUACGAGACGCUCCGGCAUCGGAAGCGUCUGGAAAGAUUUAUCGGUCUGGGAUGGACUCGCGGCCUAUCAGCUAGUUGGUGAGGUAACGGCUCACCAAGGCGACGACGGGUAGCCGGCCUGAGAGGGCAACCGGCCACACUGGAACUGAGACACGGUCCAGACUCCUACGGGAGGCAGCAGUGGGGAAUAUUGCACAAUGGGCGCAAGCCUGAUGCAGCAACGCCGCGUGGGGGAUGAAGGCCUUCGGGUUGUAAACCCCUUUUAGCAGGGAAGAAGCGAAAGUGACGGUACCUGCAGAAAAAGCGCCGGCUAACUACGUGCCAGCCGCCGCCGUAA